CCUAACACAUGCAAGUCGAACGGUAACAGGAAGCAGCUUGCUGCUUCGCUGACGAGUGGCGGACGGGUGAGUAAUGUCUGGGAAGCUGCCUGAUGGAGGGGGAUAACUACUGGAAACGGUAGCUAAUACCGCAUAAUGUCGCAAGACCAAAGAGGGGGACCUUCGGGCCUCUUGCCAUCGGAUGUGCCCAGAUGGGAUUAGCUUGUUGGUGGGGUAACGGCUCACCAAGGCGACGAUCCCUAGCUGGUCUGAGAGGAUGACCAGCCACACUGGAACUGAGACACGGUCCAGACUCCUACGGGAGGCAGCAGUGGGGAAUAUUGCACAAUGGGCGCAAGCCUGAUGCAGCCAUGCCGCGUGUAUGAAGAAGGCCUUCGGGUUGUAAAGUACUUUCAGCGGGGAGGAAGGGAGUAAAGUUAAUACCUUUGCUCAUUGACGUUACCCGCAGAAGAAGCACCGGCUAACUCCGUGCCAGCAGCCGCGGUAAUACGGAGGGUGCAAGCGUUAAUCGGAAUUACUGGGCGUAAAGCGCACGCAGGCGGUUUGUUAAGUCAGAUGUGAAAUCCCCGGGCUCAACCUGGGAACUGCAUCUGAUACUGGCAAGCUUGAGUCUCGUAGAGGGGGGUAGAAUUCCAGGUGUAGCGGUGAAAUGCGUACGAGAUCUGGAGGAAUACCGGUGGCGAAGGCGGGCCCCUGGACGAAGACUGACGCUCAGGUGCGA
Molecule: ribosomal RNA, 721 nt
Filed under: uncultured Pseudomonadota bacterium
Lineage: Bacteria; Pseudomonadati; Pseudomonadota
Description: bacterial SSU rRNA
Rfam family: Bacterial small subunit ribosomal RNA
Source: RNAcentral